Molecule: long non-coding RNA, 305 nt
Filed under: Androctonus crassicauda
Lineage: Eukaryota; Metazoa; Arthropoda; Arachnida; Scorpiones; Buthidae
Source: RNAcentral
GGCUCUGACACCAGCCUGAGUCUGUAUCUUUCUUCUUGCAGGAGUGCGUCAUGAACAAUGCCAUCUGUACUCGGGUCUAUGAGAAGGUACAAUGAGGACUGGCUAACUCGUCAUCCUGGACAGCAGUCAGCUGGCUGAGGGAAUAAGCUCAAUUCAAUGAGCAGGUCGUACAGAACCACACUGCUUCACUUCUUUGGUUUUAUUUUUCAUGACUUUUCAUCAUAGACACUUUACCCGAAACCCAUGUCAGACCGUUGGUUUACCCAGGAUCAUUCCUUUGGUUAGUAAAUAAAUGCGUUUGUGCC